RNAcentral lists this ribosomal RNA (480 nucleotides) under uncultured Magnetospirillum sp. Its description in RNAcentral is "bacterial SSU rRNA". It matches the Rfam family "Bacterial small subunit ribosomal RNA", at positions 61 to 587 of the family's 1533-position model. Lineage: Bacteria; Pseudomonadati; Pseudomonadota; Alphaproteobacteria; Rhodospirillales; Rhodospirillaceae. The record is from RNAcentral.
GUCGAACGAUACCUUCGGGUAUAGUGGCGCACGGGUGAGUAACACGUGGGAAUAUACCUUUCAGUGGGGGGUAACAUCGGGAAACUGAUGCUAAUACCGCAUACGCCCUUAGGGGGAAAGAUUUAUCGCUGAAAGAUUAGCCCGCGUCCGAUUAGCUAGUUGGUGAGGUAAUGGCUCACCAAGGCGACGAUCGGUAGCUGGUCUGAGAGGAUGACCAGCCACACUGGGACUGAGACACGGCCCAGACUCCUACGGGAGGCAGCAGUGGGGAAUAUUGGACAAUGGGCGCAAGCCUGAUCCAGCCAUGCCGCGUGAGUGAUGAAGGCCUUAGGGUUGUAAAGCUCUUUCGACGGGGACGAUGAUGACGGUACCCGUAGAAGAAGCCCCGGCUAACUUCGUGCCAGCAGCCGCGGUAAUACGAAGGGGGCUAGCGUUGUUCGGAAUUACUGGGCGUAAAGCGCACGCAGGCGGUUCGAUUAG